Molecule: long non-coding RNA, 298 nt
Organism: Melitaea cinxia (Glanville fritillary)
Lineage: Eukaryota; Metazoa; Arthropoda; Insecta; Lepidoptera; Nymphalidae
Exons: 2
Source: RefSeq, a predicted model, not a curated record
GUCACUUUUUAGCAAGAUGACCACGCGGUCGCCUCGUCGGCUAACACGAGCUUUCGACGAAAUACAAAUAGCAGAACUUCUUAAUAAUUCGGAGUUCGAAGACUCAGAUGAUGAAGAUGUGCCUGACCUGACCUCCCUGACCUAACCUAAACCUGUCCUCGGAAUCUGAAGGUGGAGAAAUAGAAAUCGCUGUAAGUGGAAGUGGAUCUACUCGUCGUACUCAAAGUGCUCGUGACCAACGAGUUGGACGUGGCCGUGGCAGAAGUACAAGUACAAGGGCACGACAUACCGGGUAUAG